This 259-nucleotide long non-coding RNA is filed under the name Struthio camelus australis. Its description in RNAcentral is "lncRNA (ENSSCUG00000005085.1)". Lineage: Eukaryota; Metazoa; Chordata; Aves; Struthioniformes; Struthionidae. The record is from RNAcentral.
UUUCAAGAGCUGACUGAAACCUCAGCAAAGCAGUAGCAAAGGAUUACAACAUCUUACAGUUAAGUCCUAGCUUACGUUUUCUGCAUGGAUGCUGAUCUUUGUAUUCUGAGCAAUAACCAUUUUACAGAGGAGAAGGGAGGUCAGCAGCCGCUGUUGCAUCUUGAACCGUGGGUUGUUUUCUCUUUGAGUGCAGGUGAGUGCUUACUGAUUUAUACUGUAUUUGACUUUCUGUCCUUCCCUUUUCUCCUUUUUUAUUAUU